This 543-nucleotide ribosomal RNA is filed under the name uncultured eukaryote. Its description in RNAcentral is "SSU rRNA". It matches the Rfam family "Eukaryotic small subunit ribosomal RNA", at positions 617 to 1170 of the family's 1831-position model. The record is from RNAcentral.
AGUUAAAAAGCUCGUAGUUGAUUUCGGGUGGGUUUCAGCGGUCCGCCUAUGGUGAGUACUGCUGUGGCCUAUCUUACUGUCGGGGACCUGCUUCUGGGCUUCAUUGUCCGGGACAGGGAUUCGGCAUGGUUACUUUGAGUAAAUUGGAGUGUUCAAAGCAGGCUUACGCCGUGAACAUUUUAGCAUGGAAUAACAUGAUAGGACUCUGCCCUAUUCUGUUGGCCUGUAGGAGUGGAGUAAUGAUUAAGAGGAACAGUCGGGGGCAUUCGUAUUUCAUUGUCAGAGGUGAAAUUCUUGGAUUUAUGAAAGACGAACUACUGCGAAAGCAUUUGCCAAGGAUGUUUUCAUUAAUCAAGAACGAAAGUUGGGGGCUCGAAGACGAUUAGAUACCGUCGUAGUCUCAACCAUAAACGAUGCCGACUAGGGAUUGGCGGACGUUUUUGCAUGACUCCGUCAGCACCUUGAGAGAAAUCAAAGUUUUUGGGUUCCGGGGGGAGUAUGGUCGCAAGGCUGAAACUUAAAGGAAUUGACGGAAGGCNCCCC